UGACCUGGAACUCAGAGAUCUGCCUGCCUCUGCGUCCCGAGGGCUGUAAGGCAUUUGCCACCACACCUGGCUAUACAUUUAUUCUUGAAACAGGCUCUCUCCUGGAAUCCUCUAUCCAGCUGAGGAUGACCUUGGCCUUUGGAUCUUCCUGUCUCCUUAUCCCCAGCACUGGAAUCACAGAGAGAACUUCCUAGUGCCCGUGGCUACUUAUUCUACACCAUCACAGCAUCCGCAUCAAAAUCUAUCUCCUUCCUGCAGCUAGAAGUGGAGGCAGUUCCAUUUUUCUGCAACUACAAUGCUGAGUAUGAAUAACCUUCAGUGACCUUCCACACAUCAUUUUACAUGUGUAUGUGUAUCCUAAGAAUGUAAUGACUAUU
Molecule: long non-coding RNA, 377 nt
Organism: Peromyscus maniculatus bairdii (prairie deer mouse)
Lineage: Eukaryota; Metazoa; Chordata; Mammalia; Rodentia; Cricetidae
Source: RefSeq, a predicted model, not a curated record